This 591-nucleotide ribosomal RNA is filed under the name Stenotrophomonas maltophilia. RNAcentral's name for it is "bacterial SSU rRNA". It matches the Rfam family "Bacterial small subunit ribosomal RNA", at positions 434 to 1021 of the family's 1533-position model. The record is from RNAcentral. Lineage: Bacteria; Pseudomonadati; Pseudomonadota; Gammaproteobacteria; Lysobacterales; Lysobacteraceae.
UGUUGGGAAGAAUCCGGCUGGCUAAUACCCGGUUGGGAUGACGGUACCCAAAGAAUAAGCACCGGCUAACUUCGUGCCAGCAGCCGCGGUAAUACGAAGGGUGCAAGCGUUACUCGGAAUUACUGGGCGUAAAGCGUGCGUAGGUGGUCGUUUAAGUCCGUUGUGAAAGCCCUGGGCUCAACCUGGGAACUGCAGUGGAUACUGGGCGACUAGAGUGUGGUAGAGGGUAGCGGAAUUCCUGGUGUAGCAGUGAAAUGCGUAGAGAUCAGGAGGAACAUCCAUGGCGAAGGCAGCUACCUGGACCAACACUGACACUGAGGCACGAAAGCGUGGGGAGCAAACAGGAUUAGAUACCCUGGUAGUCCACGCCCUAAACGAUGCGAACUGGAUGUUGGGUGCAAUUUGGCACGCAGUAUCGAAGCUAACGCGUUAAGUUCGCCGCCUGGGGAGUACGGUCGCAAGACUGAAACUCAAAGGAAUUGACGGGGGCCCGCACAAGCGGUGGAGUAUGUGGUUUAAUUCGAUGCAACGCGAAGAACCUUACCUGGCCUUGACAUGUCGAGAACUUUCCAGAGAUGGAUUGGUGCCUUC